This is a non-coding RNA of Paramuricea clavata, 73 nucleotides long. Lineage: Eukaryota; Metazoa; Cnidaria; Anthozoa; Malacalcyonacea; Plexauridae. The record is from the annotation of a GenBank genome assembly.
GCCUCUGUAGCUCAGUUGGUUAGAGCACUGCACCGGAAUCGCAGUGCCGCAGGUUCAAUUCCAGCCAGGGACU